GGGUCAGUAGGUUGGUCGUGCCACCGGUACGUACUGGUCUCACUGAUACCUCCUUCCUGAAGAACCGUAAUGCCAUUAAUUUGGUGUUGCGGGGAAACAGGACUGUUACUUUGAAAAAAUUAGAGUGUUUAAACCAAGCUAACGCUUGAAUACAUUAGCAUGGAAUAAUGAAUUAGGACGAUCGAUCCUAUUUUGUUGGUUUCUAGGAUUGACGUA
RNAcentral lists this ribosomal RNA (216 nucleotides) under Glomeromycotina sp. Its description in RNAcentral is "partial small subunit ribosomal RNA". The stretch from base 75 to 216 matches the Rfam family "Eukaryotic small subunit ribosomal RNA", at positions 721 to 864 of the family's 1831-position model. The record is from RNAcentral. Lineage: Eukaryota; Fungi; Glomeromycota.